UACGGGGGGGGUAAGCGUUGUUCGGAAUUACUGGGCGUAAAGGGCGCGUAGGCGGCCUUCUAAGUCAGACGUGAAAUCCCCCGGCUUAACCUGGGAACUGCGUCUGAUACUGGGAGGCUUGAGUAUGGGAGAGGGAUGUAGAAUUCCAGGUGUAGCGGUGAAAUGCGUAGAUAUCUGGAGGAAUACCGGUGGCGAAGGCGGCAUCCUGGACCAUUACUGACGCUGAGGCGCGAAAGCUAGGGGAGCAAACGGG
RNAcentral lists this ribosomal RNA (253 nucleotides) under uncultured bacterium. Its description in RNAcentral is "partial 16S ribosomal RNA". It matches the Rfam family "Bacterial small subunit ribosomal RNA", at positions 524 to 776 of the family's 1533-position model. The record is from RNAcentral.